GGUGCCAUCGUCUAACUGGUUAGGACGCCAGCCUCUCAAGCUGGAAAUUGCGGGUUCGAUCCCCGCUGGCAUCACCA
Molecule: transfer RNA, 77 nt
Filed under: Eubacterium ventriosum
Lineage: Bacteria; Bacillati; Bacillota; Clostridia; Eubacteriales; Eubacteriaceae
Also listed under: 2 other names
Description: tRNA-Glu
Rfam family: tRNA
About the family: Transfer RNA (tRNA) molecules are approximately 80 nucleotides in length. Their secondary structure includes four short double-helical elements and three loops (D, anti-codon, and T loops). Further hydrogen bonds mediate the characteristic L-shaped molecular structure. tRNAs have two regions of fundamental functional importance: the anti-codon, which is responsible for specific mRNA codon recognition, and the 3' end, to which the tRNAs corresponding amino acid is attached (by aminoacyl-tRNA synthetases). tRNAs cope with the degeneracy of the genetic code in two manners: having more than one tRNA (with a specific anti-codon) for a particular amino acid; and 'wobble' base-pairing, i.e. permitting non-standard base-pairing at the 3rd anti-codon position.
Source: RNAcentral